RNAcentral lists this ribosomal RNA (460 nucleotides) under uncultured bacterium. RNAcentral describes it as "partial 16S ribosomal RNA". It matches the Rfam family "Bacterial small subunit ribosomal RNA", at positions 338 to 795 of the family's 1533-position model. The record is from RNAcentral.
CCUACGGGUGGCAGCAGUGAGGAAUAUUGGUCAAUGGGCGGAAGCCUGAACCAGCCAAGUAGCGUGCAGGAUGACGGCCCUACGGGUUGUAAACUGCUUUUAUACGGGAAUAACGCGCCUUACGUGUAGGGCUUUGCAUGUACCGUAUGAAUAAGGACCGGCUAAUUCCGUGCCAGAAGCCGCGGUAAUACGGAAGGUCGGGGCGUUAUCCGGAUUUAUUGGGUUUAAAGGGAGCGUAGGCCGCAUGUCAAGCGUGCUGUGAAAUGCCCGGGCUAAACCCGGGACUUGCAUCGGAAACUGGCAGACUUGAGUCCGCGGAAGGCAGGCGGAAUGCGUGGUGUAGCGGUGAAAUGCUUAGAUAUGACGAAGAACCCCGAUUGCGAAGGCAGCUUGCUGCAUCGGAACUGACGCUGAUGCUCGAAAGCGCGGGUAUCGAACAGGAUUAGAUACCCGUGUAGUC